Carya illinoinensis is the source of this 2258-nucleotide long non-coding RNA. RefSeq lists it as uncharacterized. NCBI's taxonomy places the organism in Eukaryota, Viridiplantae, Streptophyta, Magnoliopsida, Fagales, Juglandaceae. The record is from RefSeq and is a predicted model, not a curated record. The transcript is spliced from 2 exons.
GCCUGUUCGGUUUCUUUAGCUGAGGCCCAGUUAUCUGAGCCCGGUCCCUUAGAUUGUGAUGGGCUCAAAAGAUGGAAUUGGAAGAAUGUGUCUGGGACGAAAAAUGAAAAUAGAAGGCAGCCAUGUUCGCGGGGAAGACACCUCUUUCGGGCUAGGUGGUGGUCCUUCGGCCCAAAAUCGCAGUUAGAGAACAAUCCAUUUACGGUCUAAUUUGCGGGUCCGGGUCGAAAAAUCCUCCUGCUUUUAGAUUCAGAUCUUUGAUCGACCACUUCGCCAUUGCGGUCUGCAGAGCCCGAGAGAGCGCAAUGCAGAAUAAGUGUGCAGAGCAAGUCGGUUGGAGCUGCUCGCCACGGCUCCCACGCCGAAGAGGGGCCGGACAUUCGGCAGUAGCAACACCAGCUCCACCGCCGUAGCUGCAGCCGAAACGGCGGCUCCGUCGAACCUCCUCGGCACAUCUCUCCACGUUGACAGCUCCUUCGCGGUUCAAUUUUUCUAAACCAUUUCUUUCAUAAUAUUGUUCGAGUUCAUAGGCUACGACUGUACCAAAAUUUAUUUAACAUCCCACUUUCUUUUAUAGGUGUUAAUAUCCGAUUUUUUUUUUUUUUAAUAUAAACCCUAAUACAUGAAUUACGCUUUAAUAUAAUAUCAAUCUUAGAGCUAGACCUAAAGGUGCUACUAAUAUCUUGGAAUAUUUACAAGGAUAAAGUUUCGAUCCCUUAAAUUCUGUAAAAUAUACUAUGGAAUUUCAAGACUGCAUAGACUGUGCAAACAAUUCUCUUUUAUGGCGUCAAGUUGGACUUUUGUAUUGUUUUAAAUUGAAUUGAAGAGGACUCGAAGGAUAUUUUGAUAUGUGUUGUCAAUUUUCUGUUUGACUGUUUAGUUGUACUCAAAUGCAUUGCUGGUAUUACUCUGCAUGUCCAUUAUGGGAGGCUAUGUUGAGAUUAGCAUAUCUAUAAAUCACUGUUGCACUGCAUGUUUACGCCAAAUGCUGGGAAGAGUGGAUCUAUGGGGCAAGGUGGGGCAUGGGGAUAUGGUAUAACCGAAGUAUAGCAUAGGAAGUGGGAGCAGAAAUGGCAAAGUGUGUAUGAAUUAUGAGAUAGGAGCAAGAAAAAUGCAGAAUAGAAUUUUAUGGGUGAUGUGAAGUAGUAAAUUGCAUCAGAAUCUACCUAUAACACUUUGGUGCAACAGAUGGGGAUUACAAAAAAGUAUCAAGAAAGUUGCAGUAAACUGAAAUAGGAAUUAUAGAUAUUACAAGAUUUUUAUUUUUAUUUUUUAUUUUUACUUAUCAAAAAUAUAUAUAUAUAUAUAUAUUGUAAAGAAACAUAUGAGCCCUGUGAGUUUUUUGAGAAUCGAAGGAUAAUAAAAAAACUAACAUUCUAUAACAUCAUCCAUAAUGGAUUACAUGUAACAAUUUCUUCUCAUUCAUUCAUACUUCCCCUCUCGUUACAGUCUUUGUUUGAGAUGUUUGGCAGGUAUUGACAACUUGCUUUUGACACAUUUUUCCCAACUUUUAAAAAAAAUUGUGUUGUUUCACAAAAAACAAAUUGGGCCUAGAUUUUUCUGGUGUUGAUGAUCUGAUAUGUUCAGCUAUAGAUGUUUUUGAUCCCGUCUGAUUGUCAUGCUCUUUCUAGUUCAAAACAAUAAGACGUUAGUCCUGGCUCUUCAAAGUGGAUUAAAGGGUGAGUUAACCCGGGCAUUGAAUACUCUCACUCUACUCUCAUUGAAGGAAAAGGAUGACAUGCGCAGAGAUGCAAGAAUACCUGGAUUGCUGGAUGCUGUUCUCCAAGUUAUUGAUGAGCGUGAUAUAGCGCUUCCAACAGAACUCAUAAGGAUGCUGAGGGUCAGAAAACUAGGCGCAAAUUACACUGUAACCGGAUUUGGGAUUGAAUUGGGGGCAUUGGGUUCAAAUGGCACUCCCCUGCAUUCCCGGUGAGCUUGACAUGGAGUUUUCUUUCUUCCCCGCGCCACCCACCCCCCCCCCCCCCCCCCAAAAAAAAAAAAAAACCCAAACGAAAAAAGAACUACAAAAAUUCUGUGUGAUCCAAGUGUUGAGUACAUUAAUUUCACUUCAAAUUUUUGGAUCAUGAGCAUGGGUCAGUGUUCUUACUCGUUUGAACUUCCUUUUCGAGAUCUUUUGACCCGAUUAUGGAAAAUAAAACAGAGAUCGCACCGAAUUGCUUGUAUCGUGGUUAAUUUUGUUUAUAUAUGUUUCUGUGCACACAGAAUAUGAAGAUAAUCGAAGCUGAACAAUUAUCUCA